GGCGAUCGAGGUGAUGAAGUUGUCGUGGUUGACCUGAUAGGGCAACUCGGUGAUGACGAUCGCGGUGCGACCUCGCGAGUCCUCC
This 85-nucleotide transfer RNA is filed under the name Mycobacterium sp. THAF192. Its description in RNAcentral is "tRNA-Ile". The record is from RNAcentral. Lineage: Bacteria; Bacillati; Actinomycetota; Actinomycetes; Mycobacteriales; Mycobacteriaceae.